RNAcentral lists this non-coding RNA (37 nucleotides) under unclassified sequences. The record is from RNAcentral.
CUCUGGGCCUGCUGCAAGGGCUCAGGGCGUGAAAGAG